This 552-nucleotide ribosomal RNA is filed under the name uncultured Bacteroidales bacterium. RNAcentral describes it as "bacterial SSU rRNA". It matches the Rfam family "Bacterial small subunit ribosomal RNA", at positions 154 to 702 of the family's 1533-position model. Lineage: Bacteria; Pseudomonadati; Bacteroidota; Bacteroidia; Bacteroidales. The record is from RNAcentral.
AAAGGAAGAUUAAUCCAGGAUGGGAUCAUGAGUUCACAUGUCCGCAUGAUUAAAGGUAUUUUCCGGUAGACGAUGGGGAUGCGUUCCAUUAGAUAGUAGGCGGGGUAACGGCCCACCUAGUCGACGAUGGAUAGGGGUUCUGAGAGGAAGGUCCCCCACAUUGGAACUGAGACACGGUACAAACUCCUACGGGAGGCAGCAGUGAGGAAUAUUGGUCAAUGGGCGAUGGCCUGAACCAGCCAAGUAGCGUGAAGGAUGACUGCCCUAUGGGUUGUAAACUUCUUUUAUAAAGGAAUAAAGUCGGGUAUGCAUACCCGUUUGCAUGUACUUUAUGAAUAAGGAUCGGCUAGCUCCGUGCCAGCAGCCGCGGUAAUACGGAGGAUCCGAGCGUUAUCCGGAUUUAUUGGGUUUAAAGGGAGCGUAGAUGGAUGUUUAAGUCAGUUGUGAAAGUUUGCGGCUCAACCGUAAAAUUGUAGUUGAUACUGGAUGUCUUGAGUGCAGUUGAGGCAGGCGGAAUUCGUGGUGUAGCGGUGAAAUGCUUAGAUAUCACGA